This 492-nucleotide ribosomal RNA is filed under the name uncultured bacterium. RNAcentral's name for it is "partial 16S ribosomal RNA". It matches the Rfam family "Bacterial small subunit ribosomal RNA", at positions 28 to 507 of the family's 1533-position model. The record is from RNAcentral.
GAUGAACGCUAGCUACAGGCUUAACACAUGCAAGUCGAGGGGAAACGACAUCGAAAGCUUGCUUUUGAUGGGCGUCGACCGGCGCACGGGUGAGUAACGCGUAUCCAACCUGCCCAUCACUUGGGGAUAACCUUGCGAAAGUAAGACUAAUACCCAAUGAUAUCUCUAGAAGACAUCUGAAAGAGAUUAAAGAUUUAUCGGUGAUGGAUGGGGAUGCGUCUGAUUAGCUUGUUGGCGGGGUAACGGCCCACCAAGGCAACGAUCAGUAGGGGUUCUGAGAGGAAGGUCCCCUACAUUGGAACUGAGACACGGUCCAAACUCCUACGGGAGGCAGCAGUGAGGAAUAUUGGUCAAUGGGCGAGAGCCUGAACCAGCCAAGUAGCGUGCAGGAAGACGGCCCUACGGGUUGUAAACUGCUUUUAUAAGGGAAUAAAGUGAGAGUCGUGACUCUUUUUGUAUGUACCUUAUGAAUAAGGACCGGCUAAUUCCGUG